CACGUAGGGGGCAAGCGUUGUCCGGAUUUAUUGGGCGUAAAGAGCUCGUAGGCGGCUUGUCGCGUCGACUGUGAAAUCUCAGGGCUCAACUCUGACAUUGCAGUCGAUACGGGCAGGCUAGAGUUCGGUAGGGGAGACUGGAAUUCCUGGUGUAGCGGUGAAAUGCGCAGAUAUCAGGAAGAACACCCGUGGCUAAGGCGGCUCUCUAGUACGUGACUGACACUGAGGGACGAAAGCUAGGGGAGCGAAUGGG
This 253-nucleotide ribosomal RNA is filed under the name uncultured bacterium. Its description in RNAcentral is "partial 16S ribosomal RNA". It matches the Rfam family "Bacterial small subunit ribosomal RNA", at positions 524 to 776 of the family's 1533-position model. The record is from RNAcentral.